CACAAGGCAAGAUAAAAAGACACUGAGUCUAUGGAUUCCUCCGUGAAUUUCAUCCGUAUAAGGUGAAUUAAAACAACUUAGUCAAAACAUUGCUAGACGGAUGUAAAGAUUAACAAACCAUUAGUUGGACUUCAUGAGUUGCAGAUUAUUUUCUUCCACUAGCAAUGCAAAUGGGUUGGAUUCCAAAAGUCCCUUUCUAGUUCCACAGUCAAAAUAUGCUUAGAAAAUAAAUUGUAUAAAAUAGUGCCACAAUCCACAUCCUAAAAAACACUAAUUUUCUCUCUCAGGCAUUUUCACAAACAUCUUCCGUACUCAAAAAAAUUUUCCACUGAACACCCACUCUCUAACUUUCGAAGAAUGCUUGAUCUACCAUAAACAAUACAAUUAUUAAGAUUUUAUGAGGAAACAAUCAGAGACAUAGAUCACAUAUAUAUGGGGAAGGGGUGAAUGAAAAGGUGAGAAAUUAUUCACACAUGGUUUUGUUCCAUUUCUUACACCCUACUAAUUAAAAUCAGAAAAGGGAAACACACAAAAAUGAAAGGUAUAACCUUUCUUCGAAAUCUUUAAAAAGAGUGUGGGUCAUGGUCUUCGAAACGUUUAGAUUCGACGUCAUCGUGGGUCUCUGUCGCAAUGUGUCUCCAUUGCAAUGUGUCUCCGUCGCAGUGAGUCUCCGUCGCCAUGGGUCUCCGUUGUUGAGAAGAAAGUUCAUGGAGAUGGAGAAGAAUGGGGUUGGGGUUGGGUUUUUUGGGUUCUAUCGUGAAGAUGAUAAGGAAGAAGGGGAAAUAAAAGUAAGUUUAUAUUUUAAUAAUUUUUAAUGAAAAGUUGGAGGGAAAUUAAGGGGAAAAUAUAUUUUAAUAAUUUUUAAUAAAAAAUAUAUUUUAUUAUUUAUAUUUAAUGAUAUUUAAAAACUGUCAUAUAUUUAUGACAGUUAAAAACUGACAUAAAUUUUUCGAAUCCGAAAAAUUCUGUCUUUUUCCUCAAAAAACGUGAAUUUUAACCUUUUGUGACAAUUUUUUCUUUCCUCUUUCCAAUUUUGGAUAUAUACAAUUGUUAUAGUAGAUAGAUUUUGUUGUAGUGAGCAUAAAUAUGGUUAUAGUUUCAACAUUUUGAAUACAACUUGAAUUUGAAUGAAAUUUUUCAUAGAGUGCUAUCUGUCAUGUUUUAUGCUUUCCUUUGUAUUCUUGUAUUAGAAUGCAUAUUUAGGACUUUCAAUAUAGUUUGAUCAAUUAGAUUGUGGAGAGUUCGAAAUCUUGAAGUUAGGAACAAGUUCUCAUUUCUUUUUUUAUCUUUAAUCAAUCUUUCCAAGCUAAAAUUUGUUUAGAUUUUUUGGGGUUGUUUAACUAUUUGUUUAAUCAGGGUUAUUCUCAUUACUGUUGUGGGGGUUCACCUAAAGUAAGGGGAGUUCUCAAAUAAGUAUAUAUUAAAGAUGUGAAUGAAUUUAGAAAUGCAUUAAAGAUGUGAAUGAAUCCAAAUUUCUAGAUUCAUUACGACCCUUGGGUGUCCAAGUGACUCUUGAAGUUUCAACUCGUCAUUAAAAGCUAAAAAUUUAGUUUAAACAUUACUCGUUCUAUGCUUCAACUAAUCAAUACUAAGAGUUUAGCUUGGAAAGAUUGAUCAAAGAUCAAGAAGAAAUGAGAACUUGUUCCUGACUUCAAGAUUUCGAACUCCCCAUAAUUUAAUUGAUCAAACUAGACUGAAAGUCCUAAACAUGCAUUCUAACACAAGAAUACAAAAAAAAAAAAAAACAUAAAGAUUGAGAGAUAACACUCUAUGACAAAUUUCAUUCAAAUUUAAGUUGUUCUCAAAAUGUGGAAAUUACAACCCUAUUUAUACUAAUUAAAAAUGUUAUAUGCAAGGACACAACAUUUAAUUUUAUGCCAUGUCAACUACGCUAAUAAAUGAAAGUACAUAUCAUUAACUAAGUACAUAUUAAAGAUGUGAAUGAAUAUCUAAAUUUCUAGAUUCACUAUGAUUCAUAGGUGUCCAAGUGACUUUUGAAGUUUCAAUUCGUUACUAAAGGCUGAAAAUUUAGCUUGAACAUUAUUUGUUCUAUGCUUCAGCUAAUAAAUCCAUUUAGUUACUUAUCAACUGAUAUAAUUGCAUCUGUCUUCACUGAGUCUCUGUCAUAUUUGAGUGUGUUUUUUACCCCUUUGUAAGAUUUGAGUACAAAAUUUAGAAGAACAUAGGCUUCAUUUUCAUCACUAAGAUUGUCUUCAAGACAUUUAAAUUCUGAGAAAAUCUUCUUGAACUCAUCUAUGUUGUCUUAAAAGGUUUUUGAAGGAUUCAUAUUGUAUGAAAAGAAUUUCAACCUUAAGUACAUUUUAUUAGAGAGAUCUUUAGUAGCAUGUAGGCUUUCUAAUUUCUUUUAGAUUUGUAUGUUGUAUCUUCUUCUGUUACUUGCCUUAUUACACUGUCACUUAAAUUUAGGAUUAUUGUACCAUAAGUAUUUAACUUCAUGUCUUCUCUUUGGGAUGUUAUGAGUGUUGCUAGAAGUUUUGAUGGAUCUAAAACGAAUUUAUGAGCCUGUUGCUGACCUAGCAAAGCCUUAAUUUUUGCCUUCCAAAGAGAAAAACCUCCCUUUCCAUCCAACUUCUCAAUUUCUACUAUUGUCACUGUCAUUCUUAAGUUUGCUUCUAUUCUUUAAUCCUCCAAGAUUCAAAUUCUUGAAAAUCAAGAUUUUCUUUGAUACCAAUUUGUUUGGGUUUUUUAAUCUCUCACAGGCCCACAACGAAUGGAGGACAACUACAUGAUACACCUACACAAUGCGCUUACAUGAUCCACUUGCAUGAUGCAUCUACACAAAAGAUAAAGACAAAAAGAGAAAAAAAAUUAAUGAAAUACUUAUCUUUCUUUUUCAUCUCUGUUUCAUUUAUUCUUGUAAACCCUAAUUUGAUGAUGAUGUUUUAGUUUAUAAGUAGAGAACACAUACAGAUUGAAGAUGAAGGAGAAGGAAAAGAUGAACACAAGAUAUACGUGGUUCGAAAAAAAUUGUCUAUGUCCACAAAAAGAAUCGCUUUCUUGAUGAAUUCUUGAGAUGAGUACAAGACUUUUCUUUCUCGUUCUCUCUUUGAUUUUACGUGUGAUAACAUGUAUAAAUACUCAUUAUUAUAGCCUCUUUUAUUAGAAUAAUAAGGCCAAAACGCAUAAGAAGAUGACUAAAACGUGAAACUUAUAUUGUAAAUUCAUAAAUAUUUAGAAAUACAUCUUACAUGAGCAUAUGCCUAUUUUAAUUGAUUUCUAUGUCUUAACGCAGGAUGAGUAGAAAGAAAGAAACUAUUGAAUCACAAAAGUCAUCUCGCACAAAAACUACACGAUGGGAACUCGUAUGGCAACUAACACCACCAGGCAAGGAACCACAUUAACACAUGAGAAAGAUUCACUAGACAACAAGGAUAGUGGUUGAAGUUGAUGUAAUGUGACAAGGCUGCAAUCGGUGCUGACAUACUCAGAGGAACAUAAAUAUUUUCCAUUGAAAGUGCAUAUAAAAGAACUCCUUCUUCACCAAGGAAAACAAGAGAGGAUGUAUGGGACAUGGUCUAGAGAGAGAAGGGCGGAAAGGAAUAGCCUUUCUGCCUACUGUAAAGAGAUUCUUCUUCUUCUUCUCCGGUCAUACUGAAAGUGAGAUCUUAGAGUCUGAACAGAGAGAAGUUCAUCUUCUCAUUCCCCCUAACUUGUAUUCUUUCUCAUUAUUCUGUCUUCCAUUUUUGUAUUCUUUGUGUAAUAUUUGUACUGUUCACAUUGUACCAUGAUCAAAGGUCUACAUUCUCUCUAUAUAUAUAUUACAUGUUUAUACCUUUUCAAUCCAUCAUGUCUCUACAUUCCAUUAGUCAAUGUGUUAUUGAUAGUUUAGGUCGUUGAUAAGUUUUUUAUAGGAAGUUUUGUUUAUCAGUCUUAUCGUGUUACUUGAGCUAUUCUCAUCGCUUGGCCAGCAUAUAAGUUGCCAAUUACCCGAGAGGGUAAGUAGCAAGGACAUGUCUAAUGCGUGCAACAAAGAGUUUUCUCUUUCUUUGUGAGAAAACUCCUAUCACUUUUAUUCUAAAAGGUGAACAAAUGUGGACACUAAGUACUGAGAGGUGUUAAUGCCCUUAAUUGCAAACUUCUAUACAUCUCAUAAGUGAACUCUUCUAAAUAUAUCUUGUCUAAUCAUUCUUAGUCAUGUGAAUCUCGAAAGGUGACCAUGUGUGGUGUUUAAUGACUCCGAGAGGAGCAUGCCUUAAUCAUAAGAUGGUUGAGUAAGGUAUAUCGCAUCAAGGCUAUCACCUUGCUUAAUCGUGUUAUAAUGCAUAGACAUUCUUUCACUCUUUCUCGCAUACAAGUUAGUUCAGAUAUUCCUCUCGAAUCCAUUCCCACCCCUUUAUAGAUUCUCUAAGCAUAUGUAAGUAGUCUUAUUUUUGGUUCUUAUUCUUUUAUAUGUUAAUUGUUUAUUCUUUUAUACCACCUAAUUGAGAAGUAGAUUCUAAAACUAAGAUUUGAUAUCAAUUCCCUAUGUUCGAAUCUAGAUCAAGUUAUGCGAUGAAGAGGUACAUAGUGAGUAAUUCACAUACAGUGAUCAUGACCAAUGACUUAUCGAAUAGACACACUAACAGAGAACCUACUCCGCAUACUCAAAAUCCUAUAACCAGCAUGUUGUAAAGAAAAAUUAUCCGUUAUGUUUCUAUACACCUUUAUAUAUACAGAUGUUUACAUGAAAUGAAAAAAUAACAUAAAACAAUUAUUAUAGGUUGGUGUGGGAAUUCAUAACUGUUACAUAAACAUCUGCUCAAUCUAGAGUCUACAAUUUGAUGCCAAACGAUAUGAAAAACUCUAGGAUUUGAAAAUCAGGAACCCAAUUGGUGAACUCCUAAUAUCAAAUUCUAAAAUUCCAAAUCAAUUUGACAACACCCCAAGAAGAACAGAUUAGAUUUUGGUUAUCCUUUGAUCAAGACCAAGAGAUAAGGUGAACUAUUUCCUCACUCCAAGUUUAGACAAUUCACAAGUAAGAUGAUCAAACUUACCUGAAUGUUCUUGGCAUGCAACGUUGGAUCAAUAAUUGUGAAAUGUGGCAAUGAGGCUCUGCAUGUCAUCUACCAAAGAACUUCUUGAUAGAAAAAACUCUAAAC
Molecule: long non-coding RNA, 5099 nt
Filed under: Cucumis sativus (cucumber)
Lineage: Eukaryota; Viridiplantae; Streptophyta; Magnoliopsida; Cucurbitales; Cucurbitaceae
Description: long non-coding RNA (CSAT_LNC001028)
Source: RNAcentral